This 438-nucleotide ribosomal RNA is filed under the name uncultured bacterium. RNAcentral describes it as "partial 16S ribosomal RNA". It matches the Rfam family "Bacterial small subunit ribosomal RNA", at positions 339 to 795 of the family's 1533-position model. The record is from RNAcentral.
CUACGGGGCGCACCAGUGAGGAAUAUUGCACAAUGGGGGGAACCCUGAUGCAGCAACGCCGCGUGGAGGAUGACGCAUUUCGGUGUGUAAACUCCUUUUAUAUGUCAAGAAAAUGACGGUAGCAUAUGAAUAAGCACCGGCUAACUCCGCGCCACAGCCGCGGUAAUACGGAGGGUGCAAGCGUUACUCGGAAUCACUGGGCGUAAAGGACGCGUAGGCGGGUUGGAAAGUCAGGUGUGGAAUCCUACAGCUUAACUGUAGAACUGCACUUGAAACUUCUAAUCUAGAGUAUGGGAGGGGGAGAUGGAAUUAGUGGUGUAGGGGUAAAAUCCGUAGAUAUCACUAGGAAUACCUAAAGCGAAGGCGAUCUCCUGGAACAUUACUGACGCUAAGGCGUGAAAGCGUGGGGAGCAAACAGGAUUAGAUACCCCUGUAGUC